Molecule: ribosomal RNA, 468 nt
Filed under: uncultured bacterium
Lineage: Bacteria
Description: partial 16S ribosomal RNA
Rfam family: Bacterial small subunit ribosomal RNA
Source: RNAcentral
GAUGGACGCUGGCGGCGUGCUUAACACAUGCAAGUCGAACGGAAAGGCCCUGCUUUUGUGGGGUGCUCGAGUGGCGAACGGGUGAGUAACACGUGAGUAACCUGCCCUUGACUUUGGGAUAACUUCAGGAAACUGGGGCUACUACCGGAUAGGAGCUCCUGCAGCAUGGUGGGGGUUGGAAAGUUUCGGCGGUUGGGGAUGGACUCGCGGCUUAUCAGCUUGUUGGUGGGGUAGUGGCUUACCAAGGCUUUGACGGGUAGCCGGCCUGAGAGGGUGACCGGCCACAUUGGGACUGAGAUACGGCCCAGACUCCUACGGGAGGCAGCAGUGGGAAAUAUUGCACAAUGGGCGGAAGCCUGAUGCAGCAACGCCGCGUGCGGGAUGACGGCCUUCGGGUUGUAAACCGCUUUCGCCUGUGACGAAGCGUUAGUGACGGUAAUGGGUAAAGAAGCACCGGCUAACUACGUG